This 30-nucleotide ribosomal RNA is filed under the name Dixella cornuta. RNAcentral describes it as "2S ribosomal RNA". Lineage: Eukaryota; Metazoa; Arthropoda; Insecta; Diptera; Dixidae. The record is from RNAcentral.
UGUAUAGAGCACAUAUGGUUGAGUGUCGUU